Molecule: long non-coding RNA, 2267 nt
Filed under: Homo sapiens (human)
Lineage: Eukaryota; Metazoa; Chordata; Mammalia; Primates; Hominidae
Description: long non-coding RNA NONHSAT238913
Source: RNAcentral
UGAUCUGCCCGCCUCAGCCUCCCAAAGUGCUGGGAUUACAGGCGUGAGCCACGGCACCCAGCCACAAUGGGCACAUUUAGUCAUGCAGUAUAAGUGAAGAAUGGAGGUCACUCAGAAGACACAGUUUUUCAUUACCUACAAAGUUCUACAUCAAUCCGCCCUGGUUCCCCUACCUCUCGCCGCCCCCCUACUCAAGCCAUGUGGCCUCCCUGCUGUUCUUUGACAGCCUUGUUAUGGGGCUGAGUUGUGUUCCCCCAACAGACAUGUUGACAUCCUAGCCCCCAGGUACCUGUAAACAUGAACUUAUUUGGAAACAGGGUCUUUGCAGACGCAGUCAGGUUAAGAUGAGGUUAUUAGAGUAGGCCUUUAAUCCAAAAUGACUGGCGUCCUUCCAAGAGGAGAAGACAGGCUGUGACUGUGGAGGCAGAGGAUGGAGUGCUGCAUCUACAAGCUGAGGAACGCCAAGGAUUGUUGCCACCGCCAUGAGCUAAAAAAGGCAAGGAAGGAUUCUCCCUUACAGGUUUCAGAGGGAGCACAGCCCUGCUGACACCCUGAUUUUGCAUUUCUAGCCUUCAAAACUGGACGACAACACAUUUGCCUGCCUGGUUUGUGGUAUUUUGUUCCAGCAGCCCUAGGAAAUGAAUACAAGCCUCAAAUGUGUUCCAGCGCUUGCUGGCCUCUCUGCUUGCAAGCCCUUCCCCGGACAACGCCCUCACUCCCUUCAGGUCACUGCUGAAAUGCCACCUUUGCAGAGAGGCUGGUCCUGACUGCACUACUGACCUGGGCAGUUGCGGCCUCUCUCCCUUCCUCCACCUCCUUUAGCUUUCUUCUGGUCCCUAGCCAUACCUGACAAUAUGUUGUAUGUCUUUCAUCUUUGUUGUAAAACGAUUGUCUGCCUUGCCUUCUAGAAGGUACGUUCCGUGAAAUUAGGGACUGUCCGGUUCAUUGCUGCACACCCAGUGCCUGCCAUGUGCCUGACAUAGACUGGAGUCUCCCAUACGCUUGUUUCAUAAGCGAAUGAGCUGUUUGAGAAUGUUGUUUGUUUUCCUUUUCACUCUUUUAUCCUCUACAUGACCUAAUGUUUUGCUCAUGGUAGAUGGUCAGGAAAUAUGGGCAGAUGGAUUAAUAAACCCGUCACCACCAUUGGGCUGAAGGCUCUGCGUGGUGAAGAGGGGCAAGUCAAAACGCAUGGCAUGUUGGCCUGGAUUUGGUGGCCUCUUUGUUGUAAAAUGAUUCUAGGGACAAUUGAUCAGAUUUCUCUGAGUAAUCAUUAUAGCUUACCAUUUGUUACAUGCAGCCACUGUUUCUCUUGCCCUGAAUGCCUCCUGAUUCCUCCCUUCCCCAGUUAUUUUUCUGAUUAAGGAAUCAGAGUUGAAUAAUCUAAAUUUAGUUUGUGUAGCUCAGAGGUGCCAAUCAUGGCAAAUAAUGAAUGAAGAGAUUUCCCACCCCUUUCCCUGAAGCACUGAGCUGAAACCAACAAAUUCAUUUUAUUUAGGAUCACAGGCUGCACUCAGAGUGGUGUCUGUGACAGGUGAGUGCUUUAUUCACUAAUGAACUCACCAGGCCCCAGACAAACCCUCUCCCUCCUGGUUGGGGUGCUCCUUAUCUCCGUUAGCCCACACACUGUGCCUUUUUAGCCUUCUGUUUGCUAAUGGAAUUGGUGUGUCAUUUUGUUAAAAAUAUGUUAAGUCAGAAAAAAUUCAUAUUAUGUAUAUCAUAUGGUUCCGCAAAUUUCUUUAGCCUUUCAAGGGCUUUUCUGGUAAGCCUGUAUUUAGAGUUCACAAUUUCUGGAUUAAGGACUGUGUUUUCUACCAGUUUUGAAAAGGACCAACAUAAAGCACAUUUUAUCUGCUUUCACUGCAUAAGAACAUAAAAAUUUACUCAUUGGAAAGCUGUUAUAUUCAAUGUUUGUAAGAAAUAAGCCAUAGAUUAGGAAUAACAAUUGUUAUGGUACUCUCUGUUGGGGAAAAAGAAUGAAGUUCUGUUUUCAGUUAUAACCCAUGAGUUCUUAAUAUGUGCACCAGGAGGUUUUAUACAUGAGGAAUUUUGAAUGAGUUUUUAAAAGUCAGUAAAGCACCUGUAAUCCCAGCUACUCGGGAGACUGAGGCAGGAGAAUCACUUGAACCCAGUAGGCGGAGGUUGCAGUGAGCCGAGAUCGUGCCAUUGCACUCCAGCCUGGGCAACAGGGUGAGACUCCCUCUAAAAAAAAAAAAAACAAAAAAAAUUAAUUAAUUAAUGAAAAAAUAAAAAAUAAAAAAAGAAGUCAG